Molecule: long non-coding RNA, 304 nt
Filed under: Elaeis guineensis (African oil palm)
Lineage: Eukaryota; Viridiplantae; Streptophyta; Magnoliopsida; Arecales; Arecaceae
Description: long non-coding RNA (EGUI_LNC027529)
Source: RNAcentral
GUGACCCCUAGACUCAAAAUCUUGGAUCGAGGGGCAUGAUAAUUAAUAUGGUAUUAGAGUAUAAGUGGAUAAGUUAUGACGCAUAGAAUCAAAUAUAGGAUGAGUGUAGAUGGAUAGACAUUAGAGACAUCGGGGUAUAGAUCUAUGAUGAUUGCAAUAUAAGUUUAUCUCAUGAUUUUUGACAAAGCCUUGUAAAUAUGUAUGGAAGGAUUUCCAAGGAAUAAUAAUUCAUAGAGUUUGAUAUAUGAUAGACAAUCUGUAGAUCAUAUUAUGAUUAGUUGAAUUUUAAUCUAAAGUAAUGGCA